Microplitis mediator is the source of this 473-nucleotide long non-coding RNA. RefSeq lists it as uncharacterized. The record is from RefSeq and is a predicted model, not a curated record. The transcript is spliced from 3 exons. NCBI's taxonomy places the organism in Eukaryota, Metazoa, Arthropoda, Insecta, Hymenoptera, Braconidae.
UGAAAGGAUUCAAAGUUGGUUGUAUUCAAUACCUGGGUCAGAUGUAAAUUACAAAAUUAAUGAAAAUGAUACCGAUUAUUUUCCUUGGACAGUGUUAUUUGGAAAACAUCUAGAAAGUCUGGAUGCUUCCAACGUGAGUGAAUAUGAAUUCUAUCAUGGGUCUCUUAUUCACCCACAAGCUGUUUUUAUUGGGACAACAACUCAACUACAAUUAGACAAUGGUGAUAGAGUUAUGGGCGGCUGUAAUUUUUUUGAAAUCAAAUUAGAUAUCCAAAAAUGCCAAACUAGAGAAGUCAGUGAUGUAAUUGUAGGAAAAUAUUAUAAUAAUAAAAACAAUGAGAUUUCAGACAGCAAUAAAAAAUUUGAAUAUGUAAAUAUUGUAAUUUUGAAUCAGCCAUUUGAAUUGAAUGAUAGAAUUGAACCAAUCAGAUUAGCAGAAAGCAAUGAUAUGAUAGAUAUAAAUAAUUGUUUUU